Molecule: ribosomal RNA, 492 nt
Filed under: uncultured bacterium
Lineage: Bacteria
Description: partial 16S ribosomal RNA
Rfam family: Bacterial small subunit ribosomal RNA
Source: RNAcentral
AGUGAACGCUGGCGGUAGGCCUAACACAUGCAAGUCGAACGGCAGCACAGUAAGAGCUUGCUCUUACGGGUGGCGAGUGGCGGACGGGUGAGGAAUACAUCGGAAUCUACUUUUUCGUGGGUGAUAACGUAGGGAAACUUACGCUAAUACCUCAUACGACCUACGGGUUAAAUCAGCGGAUCUUCGGACCUUGCGCGAUUGAAUGAGCCGAUGUCGGAUUAGCUAGUUUGCGGGGUAAAGGCCCACCAAGGCGACGAUCCGUAGCUGGUCUGAGAGGAUGAUCAGGCACACUGGAACUGAGACACGGUCCAGACUCCUACGGGAGGCAGCAGUGGGGAAUAUUGGACAAUGGGCGCAAGCCUGAUCCAGCCAUACCGCGUGGGUGAAGAAGGCCUUCGGGUUGUAAAGCCCUUUUGUUGGGAAAGAAAAGCAGCAGGUUAAUACCCCGCUGUUCUGACGGUACCCAAAGAAUAAGCACCGGCUAACUUCGUG